This 77-nucleotide transfer RNA is filed under the name Candidatus Dojkabacteria bacterium. RNAcentral's name for it is "tRNA-Arg". It matches the Rfam family "tRNA". From Rfam's summary of the family: Transfer RNA (tRNA) molecules are approximately 80 nucleotides in length. Their secondary structure includes four short double-helical elements and three loops (D, anti-codon, and T loops). Further hydrogen bonds mediate the characteristic L-shaped molecular structure. tRNAs have two regions of fundamental functional importance: the anti-codon, which is responsible for specific mRNA codon recognition, and the 3' end, to which the tRNAs corresponding amino acid is attached (by aminoacyl-tRNA synthetases). tRNAs cope with the degeneracy of the genetic code in two manners: having more than one tRNA (with a specific anti-codon) for a particular amino acid; and 'wobble' base-pairing, i.e. permitting non-standard base-pairing at the 3rd anti-codon position. The record is from RNAcentral.
GCGAGUGUAGCUCAGUAGGAUAGAGCAAGGCACUCCUAACGCCUAGGUCACAGGUUCGAAUCCUGUCACUCGCGCCA